This 1722-nucleotide long non-coding RNA is filed under the name Homo sapiens (human). Lineage: Eukaryota; Metazoa; Chordata; Mammalia; Primates; Hominidae. The record is from RNAcentral.
AAGUGAUUAAGUCAUGAAGACUGCCUUCAUAAAUGGGAUAAUGUAAAGGAGAUUAAAAGGAGGCUGUUUGCUCCCUUCUACCAUGUGAGAAUGCAGCAAGAGGUACCAUCUCUGUGCAAUGAGCCCUUACCAGACAUUGAACCUGCUGGCACUUUAUCUUGGACUUCCCAGCCUCCAGAACUAGUCUCACUCUGUCGCCCAGGCUGGAGUACAGUGGUGUGAUCUCAGCUCACUGCAUCCUCCUCCUCCCAGUUUCAAGCGAUUCUUGUGCCUCAGCCUCCUGGGUAGCUGGAAUUACAGGAUCGAGGCUAUCAAGCUACAGAUGAUCUUACAAAUGGAACCCCAAAUGAGCUCAACUAACAACUACCAAGGACCCCUGGACCAACCCGCUGGCCCUUUCAAUGGCCUAAAGAGUUCCCCUCUGGAGGACACUACAACUGCAGGGUCCUUUCUUUGCCCCUAUCCAGCAGGAAGUAGCUAGAGUGGUCAUCACCCAAUUCCCAACAGCAGUUGGGGUGUCUUGUUAAGUGGGGAGAUUGAGAGGUGAAGCCAGCUGGGCUUCUGGGUUGGGUGGGGACUUGGAGAACUUUUCUGUCUAGCUAGAGGAUUGUAAACACACCAAUCAGUGCUAUGUGUCUAGCUAGAGGUUUGUAAAUGCACCAAUCAGCACUCUGUAAAAACGGACCAAUCAGCACUCUGUAAAAUGGACCAAUCAGUAGGAUGCGGGCAGGGCCAAAUAAGGGAAUAAAAGCUGGCCACCUGAGUCAGCAGUGGCAACCCACUCGGGUCCCCUUCCAUGCUGUGGAAGCUUUGUUCUUUCACUCUUCACAAUAAAUCUUGCUGCUGCUCACUCUUUGGGUCCACACCACCUUUAUGAGCUGCAACACUCACUGCGAAGGUCUUCAGCUUCACUCCUGAAGUCAGCGAGACCACGAACCCAUGGGGAGGAACAAUCGACUUCAGACAUGCCACCUUUAAGAGCUGUAACACUCACUGCGAAGGUCUGUGGCUUCACUCCUGAAGUCAGCAAGACCACGAACCCACUGGAAGGAAGAAAUUUCGGACACAUCUGAACAUCUGAAUGAACAAACUCUGGACACGCCAUCUUUAAGAACUGUAACACUCACUGUGAGGGUUCAUGGGUUCAUUCUUGAAGUCAGCAAGACCAAGAACCCACCAGAAGGAACCAAUUCCGGACACAGACUCACUGCAACCUCCACCUCCUGGAUUCAAGUGAUUCUCCUGCCUCAGCCUCCGGAGUAGCUGUGCCUACAGGCACAAGCCACCACACACGGCUAAUUUUUUGUAUUUUUAGUAGAGAUGGGGUUUCACCAUGUUGCUCAGGCUGGUCUCCAACUCCUGAGCUCAAGUGAUCCACCUGUCUCGGCCUCCCAAAGUGUUGGGAUACAUGUGUGAGCCACUGUGCCCGGCCUCCUCUGGAUUAGUUCUUACAGGAAUAGAUUAGUUCUUGCUCGAGCAAGUUGUUAUAAAAGUGAGGUUGCCUCUAGUGUUUUGCAUCCUCACAUAUGUCUGCUUACCUCUUGACCUCUCUCUGUGUUAUGACCCAGCACAAAAGCCCUUACCAGAAGCCAAGCAGAUGCUGAUGCCACACCCCUUGGACUUCUCAGUCUACAGAGCCAUGAAACGAAUAAACCUCUCUUUAUAAAUUAUCCAGCUUCAGGUAUUCUGUUAUAGCAACACAAAAUGGACGAAGACAACUAC